RNAcentral lists this ribosomal RNA (796 nucleotides) under uncultured bacterium. RNAcentral describes it as "bacterial SSU rRNA". It matches the Rfam family "Bacterial small subunit ribosomal RNA", at positions 8 to 798 of the family's 1533-position model. The record is from RNAcentral.
AGAGUUUGAUCCUGGCUCAGAACGAACGCUGGCGGCGCGCCUAAUACAUGCAAGUCGAGCGAGAAGGUGUAGCAAUACACUUGUAAAGCGGCGAACGGGUGAGGAAUGCAUGGGUAACCUACCCUCGAGUGGGGAAUAACUAGCCGAAAGGUUAGCUAAUACCGCAUACGUUUCCGGGACUUCGGUUCCGGAAAGAAAGCAAUACCGUGGGUAUUGCGCUCAUGGAUGGGCUCAUGUCCUAUCAGCUUGUUGGUGAGGUAACGGCUCACCAAGGCUUCGACGGGUAGCUGGUCUGAGAGGACGAUCAGCCACACUGGCACUGCGACACGGGCCAGACUCCUACGGGAGGCAGCAGUAAGGAAUAUUGCGCAAUGGACGAAAGUCUGACGCAGCGACGCCGCGUGGGGGAUGAAGGUCUUCGGAUUGUAAACCCCUUUCGGGAGGGAAGAUGGAGUGGGUAACCACUUGGACGGUACCUCCAGAAGCAGCCACGGCUAACUUCGUGCCAGCAGCCGCGGUAAUACGAAGGUGGCAAGCGUUGUUCGGAUUCACUGGGCGUACAGGGAGCGUAGGCGGUUGGGUAAGCCCUCCGUGAAAUCUCCGGGCCUAACCCGGAAAGUGCAGAGGGGACUGCUCAGCUAGAGGAUGGGAGAGGAGCGCGGAAUUCCCGGUGUAGCGGUGAAAUGCGUAGAGAUCGGGAGGAAGGCCGGUGGCGAAGGCGGCGCUCUGGAACAUUUCUGACGCUGAGGCUCGAAAGCGUGGGGAGCAAACAGGAUUAGAUACCCCGGUAGUCCAA